ACAUUUUUACACUCUGACCUCGGAUCAGGUA
Molecule: ribosomal RNA, 31 nt
Filed under: Didymella pinodes (pea foot rot fungus)
Lineage: Eukaryota; Fungi; Ascomycota; Dothideomycetes; Pleosporales; Didymellaceae
Description: partial 28S ribosomal RNA
Source: RNAcentral